GACGAACGCUGGCGGCGUGCUUAACACAUGCAAGUCGAGCGGUAAGGCCCUUUCGGGGGUACACGAGCGGCGAACGGGUGAGUAACACGUGGGUGACCUGCCCUCAGCUCUGGGAUAAGCCUGGGAAACCGGGCCUAAUACUGGAUAUGACUCCAUGACGCAUGUUGUGGGGUGGAAAGCCUUGUGCGGCUGAGGAUGGGCCCGCGGCCUAUCAGCUUGUUGGUGGGGUGAUGGCCUACCAAGGCGACGACGGGUAGCCGGCCUGAGAGGGCGACCGGCCACACUGGGACUGAGACACGGCCCAGACUCCUACGGGAGGCAGCAGUGGGGAAUCUUGCGCAAUGGGCGAAAGCCUGACGCAGCGACGCCGCGUGAGGGAUGACGGCCU
This 388-nucleotide ribosomal RNA is filed under the name uncultured bacterium. RNAcentral's name for it is "bacterial SSU rRNA". It matches the Rfam family "Bacterial small subunit ribosomal RNA", at positions 28 to 417 of the family's 1533-position model. The record is from RNAcentral.